CCUGGUUGAUCCUGCCAGUAGUCAUAUGUUUUUCUCGAAGAUUAAGCCAUGCAUGUGUAAGUAUGAACUAAUUCAGACUGUGAAACUGCGAAUGUCUCACUAAAUCAGUUAUAGUUUGUUUGAUGGUACCUGCUACUCGGAUAACUAUAGUAAUUCUCGAGCUAAUACAUGCAACAAAUCCCAACUUCAGGAAGGGAUGCAUUUAUUAGAUAAAAGGUCGACACGAGCUCUGCUCGUUGCUGCGAUGAUUCAUGAUAACUCAAUGAAUCGUACGACCCUCGUGUCGGCGAUGCAUCAUUCAAAAAUUUUCCCCAUCAACUUUCGAUGGUAGGAUAGUGACCUACCAUGGUGGUGACGGGUGACGGAGAAUUAGGGUUAGAUUCUAGAGAGGGAGCCUGAGAAACGGCUACCACAUCCAAGGAAGGCAGCAAGCGUGCAAAUUACCCAAUUCUGACAUAGGGAGGUAGUGAUAAUAGAUAACAAUACUGGGCUCUUCGAGUCUGGUAAUUGGAAUGAGUACAAUCUAAAUCCCUUAAUGAGGAUUUAUUGGAGGUAAAGUCUGGUUCCAGCAGCUUCAGUAAUUCCAACUCCAAUAGCGUAUAUUUAAGUUGUUGCAAUUAAAAAGUUCAUAGUUGGACUUCGGGUUGGGCCGGUCGGUCCUUCUUCUGGUGUGCACCAGUCGUCUCGUCCCUUCUGCCGGCGAUGCGCUCUUGGUCUUAACUGGUCGGAUCAUGCAUCCGACAUUGUUACUUUGAAGAAAUUAGAGUGCUCAAAGCAACCCUAUGCUCUGGAUACAUUACCAUUGAUAACAUUAUAGGAUUUCAGUUCUAUAACGUUAGCCUUCGGGAUUGGAGUAAUGAUUAAUAGGGAUAAUCGGGGGCAUUCAUAUUUCAUAUUCAGAGGUAAAAUUCUUGGAUUUAUGAAAGACGAACAACUGCGAAAGCAUUUUCCAAGGAUGUUUUCAUUAAUCAAGAACAAAAGUUGAGGGCUCGAAGAUGAUCAGAUAUUGUCCUAGUCUCAACCAUAAACGAUGCUAACCAGGGAUUGGCGGAUGUUGGUUAAAGGACUCCACCGGCACCUUAUGAGAAAUUAAAGUCUUUGGGUUUCGGGGGAGUAUCGCCGCAAGGCUGAAACUUAAAGAAAUUGAUGGAAGGGCACCACCAGGAGUGGAGCUGCGGCUUAAUUUGACUCAACACGGGGAAACUUACUAGGUCAAGACAUAGUAAGGAUUGUCAGACUGAGAGCUCUAUCUUGAUUAUAUAUGUGGUGGUGCAUGGCCGAUCUUAGUUGGUGGAAUGAUUUCUCUAGUUAAUUCCAUUAACAAACGAGACCUCAGCCUGCUAACUAGCUAUGCGGAGGUAUCCCUCCGUGGCCAGCUUCUUCGAGGGACUACGACCUUUUAGGCCGCAAAAGUUUGUGGUAAUAACAGGUCUGUGAUGCCCGUAGAUGUUCUGGGCUGCACGUGCACUACACUGAUAUAUACAAUGAGUUUAUAGCCUCAGCCGACAGGCCUGGGUAAUCUUUAAAAUUUCAUCGUGGUGGGGAUAGAUCAUUGCAAUUGUUGGUCUUCAACAAGGAAUUCCUAGUAAGCGCGAGUCAUCAGCUCGCGUUGACUACGACCCUACCCUUUGUACACACCAACUAUCACUCCUACCGAUUGAAUGGUCCAGUUAAGUAUUCGGAUUGAGGCAACAUGGGCGAUUCGCCGCCCGCGAUGUAGCGAGAAGUCCACUGAACCUUAUCAUUUUAAGGAAGGAGAAGUCGUAACAAGGUUUCCGUAGGUGACCCUACGGAAG
This 1796-nucleotide ribosomal RNA is filed under the name Pogostemon cablin (patchouli). RNAcentral describes it as "SSU rRNA". It matches the Rfam family "Eukaryotic small subunit ribosomal RNA". The record is from RNAcentral. Lineage: Eukaryota; Viridiplantae; Streptophyta; Magnoliopsida; Lamiales; Lamiaceae.